GGCUUAGAGUUUGAUCAUGGCUCAGGAUGAACGCUGGCGGCGUGCCUAAUACAUGCAAGUCGAGCGAAGCACCUGCUUCUGAUCUUUCGGGUGAAGAAGCAGGCGACUGAGCGGCGGACGGGUGAGUAACACGUAGGUAACCUGCCUCACACAGGGGGAUAACAGUUAGAAAUGACUGCUAAUACCGCAUAAGCGCACAGGACCGCAUGGUCUGGUGUGAAAAGCUCCGGCGGUGUGAGAUGGACCUGCGUCUGAUUAGCCAGUUGGCGGGGUAAAGGCCCACCAAAGCGACGAUCAGUAGCCGGCCUGAGAGGGUGGACGGCCACAUUGGGACUGAGACACGGCCCAGACUCCUACGGGAGGCAGCAGUAGGGAAUAUUGCACAAUGGGGGAAACCCUGAUGCAGCGACGCCGCGUGAGCGAAGAAGUAUCUCGGUAUGUAAAGCUCUAUCAGCAGGGAAGAAGAUGACGGUACCUGACUAAGAAGCACCGGCUAAAUACGUGCCAGCAGCCGCGGUAAUACGUAUGGUGCAAGCGUUAUCCGGAUUUACUGGGUGUAAAGGGAGCGUAGACGGAGAAGCAAGUCUGGAGUGAAAGCCCGGGGCUCAACCCCGGGACUGCUUUGGAAACUGUUAUUCUUGAGUGCCGGAGAGGUAAGCG
Molecule: ribosomal RNA, 660 nt
Filed under: uncultured bacterium
Lineage: Bacteria
Description: bacterial SSU rRNA
Rfam family: Bacterial small subunit ribosomal RNA
Source: RNAcentral